AACAUCUCUUCUUGUGAGUUUUUGAAGUAUAGCCUGCCCACUGAAUUUAUUGAAGGGCCGCGGUAUUUUGACCGUGCAAAGGUAGCAUAAUCAUUAGUUCUUUAAUUGUGAACUGGUAUGAAUGGCUUGACGAGAUACUAUCUGUCUUUUUGGAAUUAUGUUGUUGAAUUUGGUUUUUGGGUAAAAAUACCUAAAUUUUGUUAUGGGACGAGAAGACCCUAUAGAGUUUUAUGUAGCUUUCUUUCUUUGGUUUGAUUAAAUUUUGUUGAGUUAUUCUGCAUUUUGUUGGGGUGAUGGGAGAAUAAGUUAAACUUCUCUUCUUGUAAUUUACUUAUUUGUAUUUUUUU
This 347-nucleotide ribosomal RNA is filed under the name Neotermes connexus. RNAcentral describes it as "partial large subunit ribosomal RNA". The record is from RNAcentral. Lineage: Eukaryota; Metazoa; Arthropoda; Insecta; Blattodea; Kalotermitidae.